This 513-nucleotide ribosomal RNA is filed under the name uncultured microorganism. Its description in RNAcentral is "bacterial SSU rRNA". It matches the Rfam family "Bacterial small subunit ribosomal RNA", at positions 9 to 522 of the family's 1533-position model. The record is from RNAcentral.
GAGUUUGAUCGUGGCUCAGGAUGAACGCUGGCGGCGUGCUUAACACAUGCAAGUCGAACGAAGCGCCUUAUUUGAUUUUCUUCGGAACUGAAGAUUUGGUGACUGAGUGGCGGACGGGUGAGUAACGCGUGGGUAACCUGCCCUGUACAGGGGGAUAACAAUCAGAAAUGACUGCUAAUACCGCAUAAGACCACAGCACCGCAUGGUGCAGGGGUAAAAACUCCGGUGGUACAGGAUGGACCCGCGUCUGAUUAGCUGGUUGGUGAGGUAACGGCUCACCAAGGCGACGAUCAGUAGCCGGCUUGAGAGAGUGAACGGCCACAUUGGGACUGAGACACGGCCCAAACUCCUACGGGAGGCAGCAGUGGGGAAUAUUGCACAAUGGGGGAAACCCUGAUGCAGCAACGCCGCGUGAGUGAAGAGUAUUUCGGUAUGUAAAGCUCUAUCAGCAGGGAAGAAAGUGACGGUACCUGACUAAGAGCCCCGGCUAACUACGUGCCAGCAGCAGCCGCC